AUCCAGCUGACGAGUUCCAAGUGGGACGAAACGCAAAUCCUGGAU
Non-coding RNA from Schistosoma margrebowiei, 45 nucleotides. NCBI's taxonomy places the organism in Eukaryota, Metazoa, Platyhelminthes, Trematoda, Strigeidida, Schistosomatidae. The record is from Rfam.